UGAGUUUAAUAAAAUUGGAGAAUAAAAAAUGAAAUUAAACUAAUUAAUAAUAUAAUAACUAGUAUAAAAAAAUAUUAAAAAAUAUUAGAGGGACCGUUACCUCUGCUAGUUCUCCUACUAGCUCCGUCUCUGGAUGUGAUGGUUUUAUUAGAGGUAGUGACUGGUUAGGUGGUUUUGUGAAAGGCAUUAGAGGGGUGCUGGAAGGUUUAUGUUAUGCUAGGCGGUUGAGUUUUAACAAGGUAGAACUUAUGUUGAUUCUAAGGUUGUUAUUAAUAUUUGUGAUAUUAAAUGGUCAUUGUACAAUCAUUCUAAUAUGCAUUUUGAACUCCAUAUCCCUAAGGUACAAAUCAAACUCUUAUUAAUAAGUCGAUAUACCUUAUGAACUAUGA
Molecule: long non-coding RNA, 389 nt
Filed under: Trifolium pratense (red clover)
Lineage: Eukaryota; Viridiplantae; Streptophyta; Magnoliopsida; Fabales; Fabaceae
Description: long non-coding RNA (TPRA_LNC013969)
Source: RNAcentral